Molecule: unclassified non-coding RNA, 3068 nt
Filed under: Homarus americanus (American lobster)
Lineage: Eukaryota; Metazoa; Arthropoda; Malacostraca; Decapoda; Nephropidae
Description: x-ray repair cross-complementing protein 5-like, transcript variant X1
Source: RNAcentral
ACUUUAACUAGUGGGUAAAUUGCGAAAAAGAAAUUAUUGUACCAGUAGUUAUGGCGACAAAUUCGGAUACAGACAGGACGGUGUACAGAGAUAGACACAUUGUUCUCUUGUGGUAAAAGGAAAGUGGCGGCAAGCAGCGACUCACACGCGUUAUUAUUUGUCUGGAGAAUUGAACAUCUUUCUUGUUAUAAUCUUUGAUUGUAUUAUAUCACAUCUACGUAAUGGGACCGAGAGCUAAACCCGGGGAGGGCAUUGUGGUGGUGAUGGAUGUCGGCCCUGGCGUACGAGCAGGAGUAGGUGAAACAUUCUUCUCUCAGUCCAAGACAUGUUUAGUAAAUAUCCUGCAGAGAAAGCUGUUUGCUGAAAAAUGUCGAGACAUGGUUGGCAUAGUGUUGUUUGGCACUAAUGACACGGAGAAUCGUCUUGCAAAAGCUAACCAGUACCAGCACAUCACAGUAAUGAAAGAGCCAAGGUUUGUGGAUUGGCAGAUGAUAGCUGAAGUGGAUGACCUUCCUCGUGGGAAUUCCCCGGGAGACUGGCUAGAUGCUCUCAUAGUUGCCAUGGACCUUUUGCAAGACCCUGAUGAUUUACAGUUUUGCAGUAAGAAGAUUGUCCUGAUAACAGACUUCAGUGGGGAGUUCAGUGAUGAUCAGUCCUCUAAGAUUAUUUCAGGACUUAAGAAUACGGGUAUUGACUUAAGUAUAAUUGGGCCAAAUAUGGCGGAUGUGGACGAUGACGAGGAUAUGGAUGAACCCGGACCAUCCAAUGGAGCAAGUAAAGAUAAGAAUAGGAAAGGAGCUGUACCCCAGAACUGGAAUGGUAAACCUAAGUCACCAGUCCAGCUAGCAGGUGAACUCCUUGCGACCAGGAUUGUGACAGAAGUUGAUGGCAUAUCAUGCAGCUUUGAUGAAGCCAUUCCACAGCUCAUAUUCUUUCAAAGAACCUCUGCAUCUAGUAUGAAUUGGAACACCGAAUUAGAAAUUGGCCGAGAGUUACUGAUUCCCAUCACUGGCUUAAUCAAGGUGAAGCGUCAAACAAUCCCCACAUGGAAGACAAAGUACGCCCAUGAUGAGUCGGAAGAAAUUUUGAGUGAAGCGUCCUACCAUCGCCAGGAUGAUGCACAAACAGUAGUUGAAGCUGAGGAAGUUAUUCCUGGUUACAAGUAUGGAAAAACAUUGGUUCCUGUCUCAGAUGAGGAUGCAAAAUUGAAGUACAGUUCAAACAGUCCUCGAUGUCUUACUGUAUUAGGACUUACCAAGUCAUCAUGCGUGCCUCACCUAAUGCGUGCUGGGGAUCAAGUUUUGGUCGUCAUUGCUCGACCAGAUGAGGAGGCAGCAGCUGUGGCACUGUCAGUCUUCAUUCAACUAUUAGAAGAGUUAGACAUGGUGGCUAUUACCAGGAGGAUCUACAACACUAAUUCUAAUCCCGUCAUGGGUGCACUCUUCCCAGAUAUAACAGCAGAUUAUGAGUGUCUUAUUUGGAUACCACUUCCAUAUCAAGAAGAUAUUCGUAUGUUCACCUUUCCUACCCUUCAACGCUACACGGGGAAGUUUAGUGACAGUGACACUAAGAAAAUGGAUGACUUAAUUUCUGUUAUGGAUCUAACCAGCCAAGAAGAAGAUGGAGAGGAAGAUUUGGUCCCCACACAAGUGCUCAACCCUCAAUUGCAGUAUUUCUUCAAUGUCCUCACCCACCGCACUGUUCACGCCUACGAUCCCAUACCACUUCCUGCCACUCAUGUUGUAAAAAUUCUUGAGACCCCUGAGAGGCUGUGUGACACCAGAGAUAGAGUGGCAUCCUCCUUCAAGACUCACUUCCCUACCAAACAAAUUGUUAAGAAAACCAAAAGGGGCAACCAAGAUAUGUUUGCAAGUAAAGAUGAUUUUGAGAGCAACAAGAAAGCCAAGCUGGAUGGAGAUGACAAUAUGAGUGUAGGUGAUUUGACUCUCCCCCUGGUGACUCAUGUCACCUCGGCUACACCUGUCCAAGACUUUAUGGCACUCCUCGGCGGUGAAGCUCCGAACUUUAACCUAAUUUGUAAGGAACUUGGAGAUGUUAUAAUACAGUUGAUGGAUGGUCUUGGUAAUGGUGGUGUUGGUGGUAGUGCUGCAGUGAUGACUAAAGUGAUGGAUUGCCUCACUGCCUUCCGCCGAGAGUCGAUUAUCAUCGAUCCAUCAACCUACAACAAAUUUGCCCCUACUUUCAAAGAUACUGUGACUUACCUGUCUCAACAUAAUCUUUGGGACCGUGUCAAAGAAAGUAACCUCGGUAUGAUCAGUAGUGAAGAAAAUCCAAGAAGCAACAUAACAACAGAUGCAGCAGAGGCAUUUCUUCAGAUGGACGAACCACAGCAGCCAGUUGAUCAACCUCAAGCUGUUAAUGAUGACGACGUUGAAGACUUGCUGGAUGAUUUGUAGUGGGUGACAGUGGUACAAAAAGGUCGGAGUUCCUCAUUGUUGUAAAUGAUUCAAGAUACUUUCCUCCAUUUUAUUGCCUUCACAUACUUCAUUCACCAAGACUUGAAUGCUUCCCAAUACAAAGAGAAAGUAAUGGAAAAUUUAACAUUCCUCUGUCUCCUGAGGCUAUAGUACAGUCAAGAUCUUGGUAGCUAUGUUGAGCACAUUCAAGAUCCACAGUGUCCCUCAUUGAUGAAGUGCCAUCAUCGUCAUCAUCCUCUUGAGGCUGAAAGGUACCUAAGCGACCCUCACAGAUUCCUACAGGUGCUGAUGGUGCUCUAAAAGGAAAAAGAUAAGAUAUUAAAAAAUAUAAAUGGACUUAAAUAUACUGCAAUGGACAUAAAAACAAGCAAGUACUUAUACCUGUACGGUACUGUAUACAAUACAGUAUAGGGUUAUUAUGUAUGAAGUAAGGUGUGCAUGUGUGGAAUGACGGAGAAAGAGGAAACAAAAUAAUAAUACUGUAUCUCUUGAGAAACAAUUAUAUGUAAAACCUAUUAUUGUAUAAUGAUCUAACACAUUUGAAACCCAAGAAAGGGGUUUGCUUUGUGACAUAACCAAUAAUAUCUUUAUGGAUGGCAAGCAUCAUUUUUAUUUUAAAAUGGAUUCGGU